Long non-coding RNA from Bufo bufo (common toad), 335 nucleotides. RefSeq lists it as uncharacterized. The record is from RefSeq and is a predicted model, not a curated record. The transcript has 3 exons. Lineage: Eukaryota; Metazoa; Chordata; Amphibia; Anura; Bufonidae.
UCAGUUACGAUGCAUAUCACUGAAUAAAGGUGAUAAUAUUAGAGAAACUCUCUGUUGGGAAUCUUAGUAUUCCCUAGUUUGACAUCAAGCCAAUAAUUUAUAAGUUUUGUUGCAAUACUACAAUUAUCUGAAGAUUGGUCAUCAUUUUUGGGCGGAGCAAGGACUCGUAUCUGUCAUCUUAUUGAUUGAGUUUUCCGCAUAAUCCAUUGAUUGUAUAUCUCUCACAAAUUUAAAGCCGUAUUGCAUCAUAUUCUUGUAUUGGUUGAGUAGUGUUUUGUUGGUUGAGUAUAGUGGUGAAUUCUGGGUGCUGCAUAUCAUUUAGUGGCGGAUUCUGG